UAUGUGUCUUCCAUGGUUGUAACGGGAAACGGAGAAUAAGGCAGCAGGCGCGUAAAUUACCCACUCUCAAUUCGAGGAGGUAGUGACUAUCAAUAACGAGACAGAUCUCUUUGAGGUCUGUCAUUGCAAUGAGCACAACUUAAAGACUUUAACGACGUCUAUGGGAGGGCAAGUCUGGUGCCAGCAGCCGCGGUAAUUCCAGCUCCCAACGUGUAUAUCGUCAUUGCUGCGGUUAAAAAGCUCGUAGUUGGAUCUUAGCUCAUGUCGGUAGUUCUCCAUGUGAGAUACUGCUCGGCUGAGCUGUUUCGCCGGUUUUCCUUAGUUUCGGCUGCGGUGACUGGUGUUGUAACUUUGAUUAAAUCAAUGUGAUUAAAACAGGCGUUUGCUUGAAUGCUUUAUCAUGGAAUAAUAGAAUAUGACUUCGGUCCAUUCUGUCGGUCUUGGGAUCGAAGUAAUGAUUAAAAGGAACAACUCGGGAGCAUCCGUAUCGCUGCGUGAGAGGUGAAAUUCUUGGACCGCAGCGAGACGACCUAUUGCGAAAGCAUUUUCCAAGAAUGUUUUCAUUAAUCAAGAACGAAAGCCAGAGGAUCCAAGGCGAUUAGAUACCGCCCUUGUUCUGACCGUAAACUAUGCCAACUAGCGAUCAGGUGGUGGUAGUUUAGCCCUGCCUGGGAGCUUCUCGGAAACGAAAGUCUUCGGGUUCCGGGGGUAGUAUGGUUGCAAAUCUGAAACUUAAAGGAAUUGACGGAAGGGCACCACCAGGAGUGGAGCCUGCGGCUUAAUUUGACUCAACACGGGAAAUCUCACCCGGACCGGACACUAUAAUGAUUGACAGAUUGAUAGUUCUUUCUUGAUUUGGUGGUUGGUGGUGCAUGGUCGUUCUUAGUUCGUGGAUUGAACUGUCUGGUUUAUUCCGAUAACGAACGAGACUCUAACCUGCUAACUAGUGAUGCGUUAAUUGAGACGUACCUACUUCUUACAGGGAUAAGCGGUGUUCAACCGCAUGAGAUUGAGUAAUAACAGGUCUGUGAUGCCCUUAGAUGUUCGGGGCUGCACGCGCGCUACACUGGAAAGUGCAGCAAGCGUUAUUAACCUUGGCCGAAAGGUCUGGGUAAUCUUUUGAAAGCUAUUCGUGUUUAGAAUAGAGGAUUGAAAUUAUUUCUCUUGAACGAGGAAUUUCCAGUAAGUAUGAGUCAUUAGCUCAUGCUGAUUACGUCCCUGCCCUUUGUACACACCGCCCGUCGCUGCCCGGGACUGAGUUGCCUCGAGUAAUGCGGGGACUUUCGGAGUUGGGUUUCCCUUCUCUGAUGGGAACCGCAUUAAUCGCAGUGGCUUGAACCGGGCAAAAGUCGUAAGAAGGUGCGAUUAGGAGAACCUGCAAGCGGAUCAUUGUCGAUCAAUCUAUUACGUACUUGUAAUUUGAUUGGAAUUGAAUGGCUAUGAAUGAAUGGUUAUGAAUACGGAACGUUCGGUUGCUGUGUAGCGUCUGCUGGGGUGUGCUCUUCCGUGCACGCAUGGCGGUUACGUUAGGCGACUGCGGGUAGUUUGGCCUGCGGUCGCUCAGCAUUAAAGAUCAGUGGGAGUUGCUGGCUCAGGACACUCUUGCAUUGGACAUCGAAAUAUUACCUAGUCUUGUGACUUCGGUCGCUUGGCGAAAUUGUACAACUCUACGUGGUGGAUCACUAAAGUCUCGGGAUUGCCCGUUAACCUUGGGCAAGACAUCGCCCAUCGUCAACUACUUUCCGCGCUGAUAGAAUCAGGAAGAGGAACCAGCUGGAAUUCGUCAUCCUCUGAAUGUUUAAUCCUCGAAAAGGUUGGAGCUAAGACGCACUACGUGCCUAUCUGAAUGAUGUUGAAUGACUUCAUCUAUUUCCCCGCGGACAUGUCCGACCUGCGAUUGCUCCGCAUGCCUCCGCCGAAGUUCGCCUACUUUCAGUUCUCCCUCGGAUAUCUGUCAUAUUCUCUCCAUACUUGCAUUCGGUUCGAGUGUCUGUGAUUGCCCUUCAUGUCGAGAUCGCCUG
Pristionchus pacificus is the source of this 2021-nucleotide non-coding RNA. NCBI's taxonomy places the organism in Eukaryota, Metazoa, Nematoda, Chromadorea, Rhabditida, Neodiplogasteridae. The record is from Rfam.